RNAcentral lists this ribosomal RNA (254 nucleotides) under uncultured bacterium. RNAcentral's name for it is "partial 16S ribosomal RNA". It matches the Rfam family "Bacterial small subunit ribosomal RNA", at positions 524 to 776 of the family's 1533-position model. The record is from RNAcentral.
UACGGGAGGGGCUAGCGUUGUUCGGAAUUACUGGGCGUAAAGCGCGCGUAGGCGGCUCAUCAAGUCAGAGGUGAAAGUCCGGAGCUCAACUCCGGAUCUGCCGUGCCGACUGUCAAACUCGAGGGCUGUAGAGGCAGACGGAAUUCCGGGUGUAGCGGUGGAAUGCGUAGAGAUCCGGAGGAAGACCGGUGGCGAAGGCGGUCUGCUGGGCAGUUUCUGACACUGAGGCGCGACGAGCGUGGGGAGCAAACAGG